UAGUCCACGCCGUAAACUAUGGGUACUAGGUGUGGGAGGUAUCGACCCCUUCCGUGCCGCCGUUAACACAAUAAGUACCCCGCCUGGGGAGUACGGUCGCAAGAUUAAAACUCAAAGGAAUUGACGGGGGCCCGCACAAGCAGCGGAGCAUGUGGUUUAAUUCGAAGCAACGCGAAGAACCUUACCUAGACUUGACAUCUCCUGAAUUACCUGUAAUAAGGGAAGCCCUUCGGGGCAGGAAGAC
Molecule: ribosomal RNA, 244 nt
Filed under: uncultured bacterium
Lineage: Bacteria
Description: partial 16S ribosomal RNA
Rfam family: Bacterial small subunit ribosomal RNA
Source: RNAcentral